AGUGAACGCUGGCGGUAGGCCUAACACAUGCAAGUCGAACGGCAGCACAGUAAGAGCUUGCUCUUACGGGUGGCGAGUGGCGGACGAGUGAGGAAUACAUCGGAAUCUACUUUUUCGUGGGGGAUAACGUAGGGAAACUUACGCUAAUACCGCAUACGACCUACGGGUGAAAGCAGGGGAUCUUCGGACCUUGCGCGAUUGAAUGAGCCGAUGUCGGAUUAGCUAGUUGGCGGGGUAAAGGCCCACCAAGGCGACGAUCCGUAGCUGGUCUGAGAGGAUGAUCAGCCACACUGGAACUGAGACACGGUCCAGACUCCUACGGGAGGCAGCAGUGGGGAAUAUUGGACAAUUGGCGCAAGCCUGAUCCAGCCAUACCGCGUGGGUGAAGAAGGCCUUCGGGUUGUAAAGCCCUUUUGUUGGGAAAGAAAAGCAGCAGGUUAAUACCCCGCUGUUCUGACGGUACCCAAAGAAUAAGCACCGGCUAACUUCGUG
This 492-nucleotide ribosomal RNA is filed under the name uncultured bacterium. RNAcentral's name for it is "partial 16S ribosomal RNA". It matches the Rfam family "Bacterial small subunit ribosomal RNA", at positions 29 to 507 of the family's 1533-position model. The record is from RNAcentral.